ACUGAUGCUUAGAUUCUAGAUGCUGUUAAUUUUAAGUUAUCUUCAGUUAUUAAUGCCAUGCAAGAUGUUAAGGUCAAUGAGUUGAUCAACAGUAAUGAGAGAACAUGGAAGUGAGAUUUCAUAAACAAUAAAUUUUCCGCAGAUGAUGCUGGAAAAAUCCUUCGUAUCCCUUUAGCACGCACACCUCACGAAGAUUUCUUGGUCUGGGGAGGUGAGUAUUCAGGUGAGUUUUCGGUUCGCAGUGCCUAUAAACUAUUACAAUAAACUAUUACAAGGUUUGGAGGAAAUUCCUAGAGCUUACACUUUACAAACAGGCUAUAUGAACUUUUACAAAAAACUAUGGCUCCUUAAUCUACCAAGCAAAAUUAAGGUUACAAUAUGGAGAAUCUCAUGGAAUUAUUUGUCGACAAGGGUUAAUAUGCAGUAGCAUUAGCUCGUCAGUAACACAAACUGCCCUCGGUGCGGUGAAAGUGCUGAAACAAUCGACCAUAUUUUUCGCAAAUGUCCUGUCACAGUGGAAGUUUGGUCACUAUUAAAAAUUCAGAAUUUGAUUCUGGUUCCUAACAUGGAUUUUUUAUAGUGGAUUACCUGGAUUUUUGAUCUAUUUUUUAAAGGGCAACAAAUAGCAGACUUCAUCAACAACUAUAUUGUUGAACCUAAUGGGCUUGAAAUAAGAAGGUCAAUUAAGGGAAAGGAAACAAGAAAGUGGAGCUACCCACAUCGCGAAUUCGUUAAAAUAAAUUUUGAUGGUGCGUAUGAUGCGACUCACCAUAAAUCUGCCUCAGGGGUUGUGGUCAGAGACGAGGAAAGGCUUGUCCUUCUUUCCUACUCAGAGAUCAACCACGGGGUAUCUUCCGCAUUUGCAGCCGAAGCAAUAGCGUGUAGAAAAGCGGUCAAAGUAGGAGUGGGACAACAAUGGCCGAAGGUGAUAAUAGAAGGCGACUCCCUCACGAUAAUCAAAAAAUGCACAACCAAAAGUCAAGAUCGUUCACAUAUAGGAGCUUAUAUACACGAUAUACAACAAAACAUUAACAGAUCGAGAAGCUUCUUUUUCAAACGUACAAUAAGAUCUGCAAACAACCUUGCGCAUGUAAUAACAACGGAAACUUUAAGAAGGAAGGAGGAGACGUACCUGGAAAUGGGGGUUCCGGUGUAUGCUGAGAUUCAACAAAGAAUGGAUCAGAGACGAGAGCCAGAUUGAUAACAGAGGGGAAACAGAGAAAUGAAAGGAAAGUAAAGGAAAGUCGGAGAAAUGGUUUUUGAAAGGAUAAACUUUCCUAAAAGCUGAAUCGUUAAAAGAAAAUUGAAAGGUACAUUGAUGAUACGACGGUUUACAGUAUGAUCUGACUGGGCAUUAAUUAGGUACAUCAAUCUAUAAUUUUUGACUGUUUGAUAAAUAUCUAGAUAUUUUCUAAUUAGUUUUUGAGCCUUUUUAGUUUCAGGCCGUGUCUUGUUUAGGUGCUGAUUGGUUUUCUCUUUUGCUUUUGGACUUUUACUAUGUACUUUUAUUUUAUUCAGUAUACAGCCCAGUCUGAAUUCUUUCAAAAAAAUUCAUUAAUAUAAUUCAGAAA
This 1571-nucleotide long non-coding RNA is filed under the name Gossypium barbadense (sea-island cotton). RNAcentral's name for it is "long non-coding RNA (GBAR_LNC009402)". Lineage: Eukaryota; Viridiplantae; Streptophyta; Magnoliopsida; Malvales; Malvaceae. The record is from RNAcentral.